UACGUAGGGUGCGAGCGUUGUCCGGAAUUAUUGGGCGUAAAGAGCUUGUAGGCGGUUUGUCGCGUCUGCUGUGAAAAUCCGGGGCUCAACCCCGGACUUGCAGUGGGUACGGGCAGACUAGAGUGUGGUAGGGGAGACUGGAAUUCCUGGUGGUAGCGGUGAAAUGCGCAGAUAUCAGGAGGAACACCGAUGCGAAGGCAGGUCUCUGGGCCACUACUGACGCUGAGAAGCGAAAGCAUGGGGAGCGAACAGG
This 253-nucleotide ribosomal RNA is filed under the name uncultured bacterium. RNAcentral's name for it is "partial 16S ribosomal RNA". It matches the Rfam family "Bacterial small subunit ribosomal RNA", at positions 524 to 776 of the family's 1533-position model. The record is from RNAcentral.